Gopherus flavomarginatus (Mexican gopher tortoise) is the source of this 73-nucleotide non-coding RNA. NCBI's taxonomy places the organism in Eukaryota, Metazoa, Chordata, Testudines, Testudinidae. The record is from the annotation of a RefSeq genome assembly.
GUUUCUGUAGUGUAGCGGUUAUCACAUUUGCCUCACACGCAAAAGGUUCCCGGUUCAAAACCAGGCAAAAACA